This 496-nucleotide ribosomal RNA is filed under the name uncultured bacterium. RNAcentral's name for it is "partial 16S ribosomal RNA". It matches the Rfam family "Bacterial small subunit ribosomal RNA", at positions 29 to 507 of the family's 1533-position model. The record is from RNAcentral.
AUGAACGCUGGCGGCGUGCCUAAUACAUGCAAAUCGAGCGAACAGACGAGGAGCUUGCUCCUCUGACGUUAGCGGCGGACGGGUGAGUAACACGUGGAUAACCUACCUAUAAGACUGGGAUAACUUCGGGAAACCGGAGCUAAUACCGGAUAAUAUAUUUAACCGCAUGGUUCAAUAGUGAAAGACGGUUUUGCUGUCACUUAUAGAUGGAUCCGCGCCGCAUUAGCUAGUUGGUAAGGUAACGGCUUACCAAGGCAACGAUGCGUAGCCGACCUGAGAGGGUGAUCGGCCACACUGGAACUGAGACACGGUCCAGACUCCUACGGGAGGCAGCAGUAGGGAAUCUUCCGCAAUGGGCGAAAGCCUGACGGAGCAACGCCGCGUGAGUGAUGAAGGUCUUCGGAUCGUAAAACUCUGUUAUUAGGGAAGAACAAAUGUGUAAGUAACUAUGCACGUCUUGACGGUACCUAAUCAGAAAGCCACGGCUAACUACGUG